GUAGAUAGAGGUUGCAUUUUUUAUGAGUAAGGUGAAGGAUGUAUCAGGGACAGAGGAAUUCAUCUGAAAGGGGAAAAUGCCGAAAGGGUAAGGAUCCUGAGGUCUUAUUCUUGGGCAUGGCGUGAAAAACGUCAUGACUGUCAUCGCAGGAUGGAGAGCUAUCUGA
RNAcentral lists this non-coding RNA (166 nucleotides) under uncultured Mediterraneibacter sp. RNAcentral describes it as "Lysine riboswitch". It matches the Rfam family "Lysine riboswitch aptamer". From Rfam's summary of the family: Riboswitches are metabolite binding domains within certain messenger RNAs that serve as precision sensors for their corresponding targets. Allosteric rearrangement of mRNA structure is mediated by ligand binding, and this results in modulation of gene expression. This family includes riboswitches that sense lysine in a number of genes involved in lysine metabolism, including lysC. The record is from RNAcentral. Lineage: Bacteria; Bacillati; Bacillota; Clostridia; Lachnospirales; Lachnospiraceae.